GACAGCAGCCGCCGCGGGAAUACGUAGGGUGCAAGCGUUAAUCGGAAUUACUGGGCGUAAAGCGUGCGCAGGCGGUUUGUUAAGACAGAUGUGAAAUCCCCGGGCUUAACCUGGGAACUGCAUUUGUGACCGGCGGGCUAGAGUAUGGCAGAGGGGGGUAGAAUUCCACGUGUAGCAGUGAAAUGCGUAGAGAUGUGGAGGAAUACCGAUGGCGAAGGCAGCCCCCUGGGCCAAUACUGACGCUCAUGCACGAAAGCGUGGGGAGCGAACAGGAUUAGAGACCCCAGUAGUCCCUGUCUCUUAUAC
RNAcentral lists this ribosomal RNA (306 nucleotides) under uncultured bacterium. RNAcentral's name for it is "partial 16S ribosomal RNA". It matches the Rfam family "Bacterial small subunit ribosomal RNA", at positions 507 to 807 of the family's 1533-position model. The record is from RNAcentral.